This 253-nucleotide ribosomal RNA is filed under the name uncultured bacterium. Its description in RNAcentral is "partial 16S ribosomal RNA". It matches the Rfam family "Bacterial small subunit ribosomal RNA", at positions 524 to 776 of the family's 1533-position model. The record is from RNAcentral.
UGCGGGGGGGGCAAGCGUUGUUCGGAAUUACUGGGCGUAAAGGGCUCGUAGGUGGCCAACUAAGUCAAACGUGAAAUCCCUCGGCUUAACCGGGGAACUGCGUCUGAUACUGGAUGGCUUGAGUUUGGGAGAGGGAUGCGGAAUUCCAGGUGUAGCGGUGAAAUGCGUAGAUAUCUGGAGGAACACCGGUGGCGAAGGCGGCAUCCUGGACCAACACUGACACUGAGGAGCGAAAGCCAGGGGAGCAAACGGG